CCGCUACCCAGGUCUAUAUACCACACAUUCUCUUUCAAAAGGCUGCAAUGCAACCCACAAAGCUGCAGGAACAUGUUGAAACUGACGAGUUGGACAAUGUUGUUCAAAACAAGUCAGAAUUUGAUGAUUCCCAUGAUCAGAUUUUGAGCACUCAAACCAUUUUGGAUACAGGGCAGUCUAUUGAUAAAAAAGUUUUGGUUGUUGAAAGAAAAAAGCCAACAGUAGAGGCCAUCAAAUUUCAAGAAUGUUGGGGCCAAUUUUAUGAGCAUGCUAAAUUCUAUAAGGGCAAGCAUGAAGAACUUAACGGCAGCCCAAUCCUUUGUCAAAGAUUUGACCAGUACAAAAAUUGUGGGAAUUAAAUACAAGGUUCAAGGCAGCUCAAUGAAAACAUAAACUUCACUGGAAACAGCCUUAUUUGAUUACGAAAAUUCAUUCACAUGGAAGGGCAAAUAUAAAGGAUUCAACCACUGAAUUGAAACAUAUAAUUGAUAAACAUCAGCUCAUUCCAUACCUACUUUUACCCUCUGAUGCUGCCAAUGAAUGGUUGACUCUAAAAGAACAAAUCAUGUGAUCAUCAGAUUCUUUCAAAUCUGUCUAGUUAUAGACGUUAACUAAAGCACUAAUUGGAAGGCAACCCAAUUUUUAUAACUCUUUUCUUCUUAUUUGCGUUUAUUUUAUUUUCUUCCUUAUAUUCUUUUUCACAAAAAUAAAAAGAUUAAAAAAAAUUCAGAAAAUUGAAAAACACAAAAACAGAAUUUUUUAAAAGUUAAUAAGUAUUUUAUUUGGAAUUUAUUCUAGUGCAAUUUUAAUUUUGUGAUUUUAUGCAGGUUGAAUUUGAACCAAAUACGGGAAUCGACUGAAUCAUGCAUUCAACAACAUUCAUCCACUCACCUCAGAAUGCAUUCAACCAUCCAUUCAUCACAGCUCUGCAUUCAAGAUCAACGUUAAAGUGCAGAAACAUAAAAGGAAUGCGAACUGGAGUUGAAUUCUGAAAUGCUUACAGUGGGGUUGCUGUGCUGACCUCCAUACCGCUGGACCCUCUUUCACUCACUCUCUCUCACAUUUCAAUAAAAUAGUUGUUUUACAAACAAGCUUGGGGGUUGCCAGCUAUUUACCUUCCUUUUGGAUCUGAAAAUCGUGGACUCUGCGAAAAAGCUUCAGUUCUCUGUCACUCGAGUUUUCCUGCGCACAGAUCAGAGCAUGCAUGUGUUAUUUUUCUCUCCAACUGAGCGGUGCAGAUCAACAGCAAAGAAAUUCGGAUGAGGGUUUACCUUUUGGACUCUCAAAUUUUCAGUAUGCCAGCAACUCCGUUUGCAAGCGUAGUGGACUCAAUGGAACUCGGUGCUGUGCAUUUAGGGGGUGCUUCUGGGUUUUGGCUGAGAAGGCAUCGCGAGGAGUAGAAAUGACUAGGGCUGGGUGUUUCGGUUUUUAUUUUAGGUUUAAGAGAAAAGGAGAGAGCCCUCUUGGUGUUAGGUUUGGAAAUGAAGGUAAUGGGGCUGAAACCUAGUUUGUAUAGACCAACGGUAGGGUUAUUGGCACGAGCGUGCUCGCACGUGAGUGGGCAGAGGCUUUCUCCAUUCCUAUUCCUGCCCCCAGGUCACGAGUUCGAUCCCAGCGCCUGGAAAAUUUGCCUUUCCCCAGCUCCAGGUCCUGUCUUCGAACCCAGGUGCGUCCACUUCCAUUCCCUUUAUUUUAUUUUUCGUUUUGUAUCAUUUUAUAUUUUGUUCUGCUUUGUCUUUUGUUUUAUUUUCGUCUUUCUAUUUCUAGUCAGUUAAGGUGGUUGUUUAUUUUUUAUUUUUUUGUUUUAGUUUAUUUUUUCUGUUCUUCUAUUUUUUGCAUUUCGAGGAUAAUGUGUGAUUUAAGUUUGGGGGUGGGAAAUAGAAUUUUAGGUUUUUAAUUUUUGAGUCAAUAAAAAUUUUCAUUCUUUUUAAGUUAAUAUCCAUAGAUUAUUUUAAACUUUAGAACAAAUGGACAUGGUGAAGGUUAAUCCCACAUUAUAUUCUUUUCUAUUUAUUGUUGCUUAGACACUAAUUCAUGACUUAUACUUUGAAAAUUUGCAUGUUCACACCAACAUGGUUUUGUGGGGGAGUGAGAUUGAAACACUUACUUUUUGACUAAGGGUAUUUUAAUUUUUGUUCUUAGUAAAGUAAAGUUUAGUUUGUGUUAUAAAUAAAGUAAUAAUUGUUCCACCCGAAACUUUGCUUAGUAAUCGGGCUAGUUUUGCCUGAUCAGUAAGUGAUUCUCACGUCAAACAGUAGAGUUCUGGCAUGGGGCAUGGUGGUUAGUUGGUUUCAUAGCCUUUUCAGCUCGAGUUAAUAAGUCCUUAGGUGUUCUACACUUAGUGCCAUAGAGCCUUAGUGGUUUGGGAAUAGUUUUCUAAAACACGGCCUAGGCGGCCGCCUAGGCGCUAGACGGCGGUGCUCCCCCAUGAUUAUGCCGAAAUCGUUUACUAAAUCGGCAAAGCUAUUAGGCGGCAUAAGUCGGACGUCUAGGCGGGCUAAACGGUCGCUGGGCGGGCUAGACGGAAGCUGGACGAUCUGGGCGGCUUGGGAAAAUACGAUAGCCUACCCAGAAGUAGGCAGACACGAGGAAAUCUAGGCAUUGUGUGUCUCGCCGUUUCCUUUAGGUGUGACGAUGGUCUACGAGAGAGAGAGAGAGAGAGAGAGAGAGAGAGAGAGAGAGAGAGAGAGAGAGAGAGAGAGAGAGAGAGAGAGAGAAAGAGAGAGAGUAUGAAUCUGCAAUUGCAGAUAUGGUGAUAAGCAGACAGCGGCAAUGGUUUUUGCUGAGCAGCUUAGAGUUUUCUUUUCAAAGUAAGUCGGUGAUUGGGAAUCGGGAUGCCUAAAUACAAGUGUCUUUGGUUUGUUUUAUUCUAACAGGAUAAUAAAUGGAUUAGUUAGAUGACUUUGGGUUUUUUGUUAGGGUCCAUUACGCCCAUCUAUAAAUGGACUUGACAAUUCUACUCAAAGAUAAGACAAGGAAUACAAGGCCCAACCUUGCAUAUUUUCAUACAUAGAUGUAUAUUAUUUUUUAUUAAGAAAUAACAUAUUAUUCAAUGUUUAUUUACAUAUUAUAUAGUAAAUUUACUUAAAUCCGUCUAACCGUUUAGUUGUUAGGCCCCAAUCCGCCUCGCGACUAGCACCUAACGUUUUUUAGAACCUUUUUUUGGGAGUCAUUGACCUAAAGCUCGUUAUAUGGGUUGGACCGAAAGCUUAAGUGAACUGACAUUGCAAGACCACCACUGUUACUAGAAAAAGAAAAAAAAAUUGAAAAAAAAAAGAAAAGAAAAAAAAGAAGAAGAUCUUUUUGAGGUUAUUAUGUGUGAAGUAGUGAAUAAAGAGGACGAGAGGUAAAGACUUUUAGUCGUGUCUCUUUAACUAUGUUGGUUCACUCUACACCAAAGGAAAUUCAUGAAUUCUUUUCUAAUUGAUUCUAAAUGGCUUAGACUUUGUAGUGGGAUUGGUUGGAACUUUUGGAAAGAUGUUCUAAUUUUUAACGUUUUCUAUGAGUUGCAAUUUGAAGGUGAAAUUUUUUGUGUCUUAGUAAAUUUUGUUUAAGUUUCUUAGUCUUUCUUUUAUUUUCUAGUUUUGUUUUGCUUGAGGACAUGCAAAAUGCUAAGUUUGGGGGUAUUUGAUGAGUCGAUAUUAUACCAUAUAUUUUACCCUAUUCUUGGUUAUAGUUUAUUGGUUGUUUUGGUAGAAUUUUAAUACUUUGUUAUGUAUUUUCAAUGUAGGACAUUUGACUUCCUUUAGAGAAAAAUGUGAUCAAAUGAAUGAAUUUUAGAGUUUUUCCAAUUAGAGGAUGUUCAUGUGCCUUUCAAUAUGAUUGUCUCAAAGUUUUAGAUUUUUCUACCAAGCCGUUUGACCAUGGCGAAGAAAAGAAGGUCCAGCGCGCAGCUUUCCCAUAUUGAUAUUUUUGGAUGUUUUGGGUAUUUUGAAAGUCAAGAUGACAUAUUUUGAGAAAGAUUACUUCUGAGGAUUUGUAGAGGACGUCUUCAUCUUUCAAAAGAGACAUUUUGAGACCAAAUCGGAGUUGAUUUGAUGGGUCAAAAGUCUGAUUUUCUGAGAAGUCCAAAUUUCAGGUCAAAUAGGAAACCUUUUAUUUUGCUAAUUAUCUUAUUUUAUUAUGUUUCCUAGUUUUAGAAGACCUUUUCUAAGUAGGACUUUAUGUUGUAGUAGUAUAAAUAAGGCUUUUUAGCCAUUAGAAUAGGUACGCAUCAAUUUGGGAGAACUUAGUUAGGCUUUGACGUUUUGUAUUUCAAGGUGUUUUCUAUCCUUUUUUCUAUUUGAAUAAAAUUCAUUUUGUUUUACGGUUGUUCAUAACUAAUUUCCAUUUGCUAGGGCGAUGCCUUGAGACUUAGCAUGAAUAUGUAGUCUUUAUUUAAUUGCUUAUGAUAUUAUAGAUACAAACUUUGAAUUAUUAAUCACUGUGUUUAAAUUGUUUCUAUAUCUUAAUGUUUAGCUACCAUUAGGAUGUUUAGAUAAGUAAUCGGAUGCAAUUCGGUCGGAAUGCCACUGGAGGAUUGAGCAUUGCUUCUUGUGAUUGAUAGUUGUAAUUUCACUUAGGGCGAAUGCCACAUUUUUGGGGUUGCAUAGUUUUUCAAAUGGUUUUCACUAAGCGUAAUGAGUCAUGCAUGUUUAUAUUUGAUCUGAAUGCCACAGACAUAUUGCAUGUUUGAUAUACGUUCUAGCCUGAAUGCCACAAGUAGAAUAUGCAUAAGGAAAACCUAACCUUCAAAGUUGCACAUGUGUAAUUCAUAAGUAAUUGGUAAAACUACAUAGGAUUGUUAAGAUGACGGCGGAACCCUAGUACUUUCUCACUUUGAAUUCUAAAAAUUGUUUCCUUUUUCCUUCUUUAAAAUUGCAUAUUUUAGUUAACCCUUUUAACUAAUUUCGUUUUUCUUAAUUUAGGUAAUUAAGUCAACCUUUUCCAAUCUUCGUUUUCAAAUAAUUAACUAAGAUUUUAAUUUUGCAUAAAUUGUUUUAAAUAAUCCCUACGGAAAACGACAUUGCUUGAGCCGUUUAUACUACAACUACCUUAUUCUCUUGCAAGUAUUUUAAGUGUUUUUAUCCCAACUUUUGUAGGUGGUCCAAGUCCCUAUCAGUUUGUACAAUGAGGGGUUACUAUAUUCCAAAAAGCAAGGUUCUAGAAAACUUUUAUUUUUGCCCAGUCACACCUUUUUGAUUUGUAGCUCUUCAGGAGUUAGUAGUUGUACAGACGAGGAUCACUUGCAGUUUCUGACGUUCACUUUCAAUAAUGUAGGAAGUUGUUUAUGUUAUUUUUGUGCAUAUACUCUUUACAUUUCUGCACAUUUAUCAAUGCUCUAACACUGGAUGCAUUGUAAAAAGAGUGUAUCCCACAUUGUGCACUCUUAGUUUACUAUAUUUUGAUAUGAAAAAAG
Molecule: long non-coding RNA, 5398 nt
Filed under: Malus domestica (apple)
Lineage: Eukaryota; Viridiplantae; Streptophyta; Magnoliopsida; Rosales; Rosaceae
Description: long non-coding RNA (MDOM_LNC017917)
Source: RNAcentral